AAUUGAUCACCAAUGUUCUCAAGUUGGACGAAUUCGGAUUAGAAAUCAAUAGGCUCGCUUUCCACACCAAUUCCUAAAAGCGAUACAUUCAUAUUAAUCCUCAAACCUUUCAUUAAUGAUUAAAAGUAAAAUCCAAAGAGCAAAAUAUUGCUCACUUAAUUACAGUUUUUUUUUUAAAACAAUAUUUAAUUGCUGUUUCAAUCAUAGUUAAAAGACAUAUUUUACCAUGCCAGGAAUAUGUGUAUUCAAGAAAUAAUCAUCCCAAUCAAUUAACUUAGGAUCCAUUAAAAAGAUAUCUGUCUCUAUCCCAUUCUCUUCUGCAGCUGUUCUUAACUUGUCUAAAUUGAAAUCAUCAAAAAUUCCAUGGAAGAAUAGGUAUGGCUGGUAUAGUUCAACUAGUCGCUUCACAAGUUUAAUUCUUCUACUCAGAUUGCUAUAUGUACCUUGAAAACUUUGGCAGGAUAUUAUGUUUGCUAGUUUUAGUCCCUUUAAUAAUGGGAGGUAGCGAAUCCUUAUAAAUCUUUGAAAGUUGGAGACGCAAUUGAGCAUGGUAGGUUUACUAACAACCUUCACUGGCUUUCCAUUCUGGUUGAUCCAUGGUUUCUUUGUGAAGUGACGAAUGAGGUAAUCUUUGAAACUAGAACAUCUAAUAGGAUUUCUGACUGAUGAUCCCACAUGAUAAAUGACAUCAUCACAAGGUUGAUUUGUAUGAGCCACCAUAGCCACAAUUAUGGCAUUCACCACCAUAUCACCUGGUAUUCGACUUUUAGGAGUCAUGAUUCGGACUGAUUCGAAAUUGUUUAGGAGUCAUGAACGAUCUCAAGCCCAAAUUUCACAGGUUCAGUUCCAAUUUGAGUCUCGUUCCGAGUCGGUCCAUGCCUAGUGUACCUCCAGUUGAGAUUGAGAAGCUUUAAGCUUGCACUGGGAUAUAUUGACCCAUCAUUUGCCACAUCAACGAUUGAUGCAAGAUCAACAACAAAGAACGUCAAUCUUCCCUUACCAUAACUAAGAGUCAAAGCAUCAAAGGGUUCUUGCAUCUUCAACCCAACCAGGGAAAGGUUCCUUGUAAGUACUAGUAAUCAUAGAAGGACGUGUGAUCACCAAAGGAAGAUUUUCUUUUAAGUGUCCUACAAGCAUUUCUCCCAUAGCCUUGGUAAACACAUAAGUGUUUGGCCAUCCAUAUCUCUUUGCUCUUUUGACACCCAUAUCUUUCAUGGCAUGUUUAAUUUCUGUUUCUGUAGCUCUCUCAGCUUUGAGUUCAUCUAAUUUGGUAUCAAUCAAUUUCUUCUCUUCUUCAAUAUCUAGCCCAGAAACACCAUUAAGUGUCUCACCCAAGCAAUAGGGAUUUUCUGGUAUCAGUCCUGAACUUUCUCCACAAACAUAAGCAGUAGAUAUGUGAACAAACAACUUUAGUUUUAGGCAAAGUUUGGCAAAGCACAUAACAUUCUUAGCUCCAAUAGUGUUGGUUCCAAAUGCAAUAUCGUAUCGUUCAUCAAAGCAGGUGGUGGCUGCAAAAUUAGGUACAAUAUCCAAUUCAUUCUCCAUCUCUUCUCUCAAGGAAGAGUCUUUAAUUCCCAAGUCAUCAUAACAGACAUCACCAGAAAUAAUAUUAAUCUUUUUGGAUAUAAUAGCAUCAAAAUUUGCACCCAAGUUUUCCUUCGCAACUCUAAACAAGUCCUUCCUCAUCACCUCAUUGUGAAAGCGAUGACUUGCAGAGGUAGCAUCUGAAGCUCUUAAAAGAAGAUAAAGCUUCUUCACAUUCGGUUGAACCCUUAGUAUCUUUUCUACAAAAACUGAAUUAAUUAUUUAAAGAAACAAAAUUAAUAAAUAUGAAGUCCCUCUUUGAGGAGAGUAUAUAUAUAUAUUCAAUUUUUAGUGGGAAGAAAGAAAAGAAUUUGUACUCUUAGCAAGAAAUCCAGUUACACCAGUGACGAAAAUAGUCUUUUUCUCAAGAAACUGAAGGACGCUUCCGAAUUCCUUUGCAAGAAA
RNAcentral lists this unclassified non-coding RNA (1989 nucleotides) under Hevea brasiliensis (rubber tree). The record is from RNAcentral. Lineage: Eukaryota; Viridiplantae; Streptophyta; Magnoliopsida; Malpighiales; Euphorbiaceae.